This 337-nucleotide long non-coding RNA is filed under the name Monodelphis domestica (gray short-tailed opossum). RNAcentral's name for it is "lncRNA (ENSMODG00000045484.1)". Lineage: Eukaryota; Metazoa; Chordata; Mammalia; Didelphimorphia; Didelphidae. The record is from RNAcentral.
AGCAGGGGAGGGAGCCACGUGAUUCCCAUUUACAUUAAUGGACACUGAAUGACUAAAUCUUGGUUCAUAAUAUUAAAUAUUUAUUUCUGAUUGUUCUUUCAGCCUAAACAACUUCAGUAUGUUUGCUGUGAGACUGUUAAUGAGGCAGCAAACUGCUAAGCACAAAUGCACAAUGAAGAGGUGGGAGAAGAGAGAGGAAAUAAAGUUUCCCUGGAUUCUUUCAAUAUUCAAUGAAAUUGAGAGGCAGAGUCAAGAUGGCGGCAUAGAGGCAGCAAAAGUUCAGACCUCUGAAAACCCUUCCUCACCAAUUAAAAACCAAAUGCUUCUAGGGAAUUGA